Molecule: long non-coding RNA, 1270 nt
Organism: Anguilla rostrata (American eel)
Lineage: Eukaryota; Metazoa; Chordata; Actinopteri; Anguilliformes; Anguillidae
Exons: 4
Source: RefSeq, a predicted model, not a curated record
UUCACAGGAGAUCCGGAUAUCCAUGCCAAUGCUGCUGAGCAGGAGUCAGGAGAGAAACAGAACUGCCCUGUCGCUGGGAACGAUGGCGCCCCCUACAGGUGCAACCUGGCCGUGCUAGCUGCACUCUGCCUAGCUCUGCUGGGUGGUCUUAAUGCUCUGGGGAUCCUGUACGUUCAGAAAAGCAACCGAUCGGACGCCCUGGAGGAGGAGAACAGGGAACUCUCCAUCUCUCUGUCUUCUGUGGAGCAGAGGCUAGCAGGAACCGAAAGAAAGUUGGAGGAACUGCAAGUGAGACACAGAAAUGCGUCAGAAACACUCUCUGCUUAUCGAGGUAAGAGAACUGAUGCUACAUUUUAUUAACUUUUUAUUUUUUAUCUAUAAAAUAAAAACACAGUGUCUUAGUAAGGUGUUUGGAAACCACGAGCUGCCAGAAAAGCUUCAAUGCACCGUGGCAUAGAUACUACAAGUCUCUGGAAGUCCGCUGGGGGGGUGGAACAUUCUUUGUCAAGAUAUUUCUUAAUUUGGUGUUUUGAUGACGGUGGUGGAGAGCGCUGUCUAACAGGUUGGCCCCAAAAUUUCCCACAGGUGUUCAUCUGGGUUGAGAUCUGGUGACUGCGAAGGCCAUAGCAUGUGAUUUAGAUCAUUUUAAUACUCCAUUCAGUGACCCCUCGUGCCCAGUGUAUGGGGGCAUUGUCAUCCUGGAAGAUACCACUCCCGUCAGGAUAGAAAUGAUAGGAUAAAGGAGAUCAACUCAGAAUAGCAUUGCAUUAAUUUGCAGUGGCCCUUCUCUCUAAGGGGACAAGUGGAUCCAAAUCAUGCCUCCCACAGCAUAACAGAGCCACCAGACCCCCUCACUGUAGGAGGCAAUCAUUCAGUGCCACACGUGCACUCACCCACUUAACGAGAAUAUGGUGAAGGAUGACUCAUCUGACCACAUCGCCUAAAUGCCCGUACAUGUCUUUGCGUGGGCAGAAUGGCAAACUUAGACUUCUUGAUAAACUACUUUCAGGUUCAUUUGCACCCAUGCAAAUUUUGAUGAUACCUGUGCUACAGUACAUAUAUAUGGAUUCAGAUAGGUAUAUACCAAAAAGGAUAACAGGUAGAGGAGAGAUCACAGGUUAGAAGCUUCCAUGAAUGGGGUGGACCUCCCUGCCACAUGGGGGCGCUUGUAUGUAGCUCGGCCACCCUAUGGACCAUGCCCAAGUCCUGGCCUUUUGACCUCUUGCACAGAGUUGCAUUUUGCCCCAAGCUUCAAACAUUUGUUCACCGA